Molecule: long non-coding RNA, 1244 nt
Filed under: Rattus norvegicus (Norway rat)
Lineage: Eukaryota; Metazoa; Chordata; Mammalia; Rodentia; Muridae
Description: long non-coding RNA NONRATT002248
Source: RNAcentral
AAAAAAUUACACAGGUCAGAUGUCUAAUCCCAGCACACAAGAGACAGAGACAAGUAGGACUACAUAGCAGUUGGAGGUCCAUAGUGAGACCCUGUCUCAAAAAAGCAAUAAAACCAUCUUGCAGCUACCAUCUAUGCAUAAGACACACCUGUCCCACCCAUCUGCCAGUAGAGUCAGACACAUCUGUCCACUAAACCUCAUUAAUUCAUGAAAGGAGGGAUGCUGUACAGGAUCCAGCUGCCCAAGACCCUGUAAGAGAAAAUUCUCUGAGGUAGGCCUCCUGAUACCCAGUAGGCCCACUGUCAGCUCCUCUCGGAUGGAACUAUGUAACGCCAGGAAGGCCCAGGACCAAAGAUACGUUGAGGAAACUGAGUUCCCCAACAGUUCUCUGACAGUCCUGAGCCUUCUGGGAUCCACAGACUGGAAUUGUUACCACCUUCUCUUCCUCACCAGCCUCUGCUUUUAAGCUGAGUGCUUUUUACCUCCACACUCCUUGGAUCUACCUCUUCCAAUACCGAGAACUGGCCUGCGCUCCCCUAUGUGUGGGAGUUCCCCAAGAACUACGGCUAUACUGGGUUAGCUCCUCUUAACAGGCUACGCUUGUAAAAAUGCCUAUGGGUUUUCUAAGUCAAAUGUUAAACCAGCUAAGCUUGGUAGCACCUGCCUGUGUUCUCAAAGCUGAGAAAACUGAAGCUGCAGGUUACAGAAACCCUGUCUUAAAACAACAAAACCCUCACCUCCCAAUCCCACAAAACCAAAUAAACACAUGCACCAAACUUCACCUUUGGCUCUACAGCUGAACAUGAUGCACCACACUCCACACUUGGCUGUAAGUCUGUAGGUGAAGAUGGAGGGGGGGUGGCAUUCAAGGGAAAUCAAAUACUGAGCUGACACUGGGGGUCUCUCUCUCAUGAUUUUCCUGGGCAGCCGUAAACCUAUACUCCAACUGGAAGAAAGCCUCUUAGGUCCCACUUGGUCAAUGAGUUUGUUAGGGUUACAAGAGUAAGCAUUUGAGGAGUGAGAGUGGCUAAGCUGCCCACAAAACACUCAGAGGGCCCUAAUGACUGGGUCCAGCCCCUCCAGAUGCAUGGGGUCCAAGCUCCUCUGUGCAGAGUAAAAAGCCUACGCUCAAGACUUGAAAACCCACCAACUCCCCUACUCUGGAACGUCCCAGCGCCCCCCGAUUCACCUGAGCAGAGGCAACCAUCUUCUGAGUUUUUCCCUCCCAAUAAAUCUCCUGUCUG